GGGGCAAACCCUCUGUGGAUCUUUCGCUAGCAGGUCUGCUAAGACCUGCAGGGAAUUUUCUUAUCGCAUAAACCACAGGAAAUGUGAAAUGGAGAGGAUUGUUGACUACUUUCCAGAUACUCAAACAAAAACGAGCUUUUAGAGCUUAGGUUGAUCUGAAAUUAUUUCCCCCCCUGCAGGUCUGGAGCCAAUAACAAUAACACAGACGGACCGUCAAUCUCCUCACUAAACUUCUGGUUUUCAGAAGGGAAAUCUUCUAAGUCAAAGGAUGUCCUCUCACAUUAGAUUGAAUUCUUGGCUUGAAAGAACCAACGCAGCCAUUAGUGUUGUGAGAUCCAUUUGACAAAUACAUCUUAAAUUUAUUUUAUUUCUAGUCUUUUUCAAGUCCAUGAUUAUGGAAAUAUAACCUAAGUGAGAAAAAAAAAAAAAAGGAUAUCCAGAGUGAGCAGAGGGAGAGAUGUUUCAAGAUGAUUAUAGUAGAAUAAUGGAUACUAUUAUUACAUAGGAGGUGGUUUGAUGGAAAAAGAUCCUUGGAUGUUUGCAUUUAGUCCCUGACUGAAUCAACAUAGAAUUUCUACCGACCUAAUUAAUCUUAAAUUAAGCAUGCCUACUGUUUACUGUGAUGACCUCACCCGACAGGCUGUUUGAGCGUCUGUUUUUCCUCAUGGCGAAAAAGGUUCUCUUUUACUUCAAAAGUGAGUUUUCCUCCUCUUAAGUUCAGUUGUUUGGCCAUUUCCAUCCAACAUAAACACUUCUCUCUCACCUUUAAGCUGUUUCAGGCUGAGUUGUGUCUUUAAUGCCUGCACGGCUCUCUGUGCAGGCUUCUGACUUCAGCGGGAGCUAUGAGUCUUGGAGGGCCUGAUGUGACCCUGUGUUUGUGCUCAGUAUAUAAGUAUUUAUGUAAUGUUUUCACUUCCUGACCCGCUCAGUAUCAUUUCUUUGGCAAAAUAUAUUCACUUCCCUCACAUUUUCCCCAUCUGUUAUAUUCUUAGUCUGUCUAUUACUUUGCUUACUUUUCUUUGAUCCUUUUUGGUCUGGAUAUCAUUUUCCAAGCACAGUGCAUUGACACACAUGCACACACGUAAACCAAAAAGAUACACAGAGUUUGCUUUCCACUUUCCAAAGUGUGUACAUCAUCUAGCGUAGCGUAGCACUUGGCUUUACAUAGUCAGCGAUGCAGACACAUAUCUCUAUACUGACAAGAUGAAUUGAUCUUCUGUUUUUCUAAAUAGAGACAAAGGGUUCUCUACUUCUUAGUUUUAUGAGAAAGAACUUACUACUAUUGAGAAUAUAUGGUCUGCGCUUCCUUCAUUUUCCUUCUCUGAGUCUAACUCUGGGAUAUUUUUCUAGAUGGAGAGGUUUUCAGGCUUUCCUGUGAUGAAUCAAUAUUUGUUUCCCUUUGUUCCUAAAUAGUAUAUUUCGGAAGCAUCGCUAGUGCACCAUCCUGGAAGAUGUUAACGUUCAAGAAAACAUCAAACUGGGUAUCAGGCGUCUGUGGAUUCAUUCUGGAUUCCAGCAUUGUCGGUGAAGAAGAGCAUACGUUUGAUAUCGGUAUAUUUUUAUGGGGGCAAGUGGCCUCCUCAGAUAGCCGAGCAACAUAAAGGAGCCGAGUGGGAAAGGAAAAAAGAGGAAAGAGAAUCCUAAAGAAGUGAUGCCAUUUGUUCAAGGAGCCAGUGUACUGAUGGAGCCAGUAUAUUGUUGUUGACACCUAAAUCUUGUCAAGUACUGGCAAACAGACAGACAAACAGAUGAACAAAUAAAUCAAAUAUUUACCACUUUACAGAAAGGAAACCGAGGCUUAUCAUGAGUAAAAAGUUGCCGAAAGUCAUACAGCAGGACUGCAAGAGCUUCCACUCAGACACCAAAACGAAUGAUCGUGAAAGUAUGGAAUAUUCAUGCAAUGGAAUACCACUCGGCAGUAUAAAGGAACAAACUGCUGAUAAACACAACCCUGUGGGUUAAUCUCCAAAACAUUAGACUGAAAGAAAGAAUCCAAAGUAAAGUCUGUAAAAGAGUACUUACGGCACGAUUCCAUUUAUACGAAGCUCAGGAACAAGCAAAUCCGUGUUGAAAGCAAUCAGAGCAGCAGUGAGGAGUCGAACUGGAAGGAGGCUGAGGAAGAUUUUUCAAGGUGAUGGUUGUUUUCUCUGUCUUGACAGGGAUGUUGUGUUAUGUUGGUAUGUGCACUUGCCAAAUUGCUUGUAAUUAUAACACCUAGUGUUGUCCACUGUAUCUAUGUUAUGCCUUAAAAUCAAAGUUAUUAAGAGAAAAAACGUGUGGUUAUUUUCCUUUUUGCCUUUACUUCCAGCAGCAUUUUAAGUAUAACCAAUUAACCAAUAAUAACUUCAAAUUGUUUCUUUUUCCACAUGACAUGUAGAAUCAGAUUAUCCUUCUCCAAGUCAAUCCUGAGGGUGUUUUAAUUGGAAUUACAUCUCAUUUAACCAU
This is a long non-coding RNA of Sus scrofa (pig), 2445 nucleotides long. RefSeq lists it as uncharacterized. Lineage: Eukaryota; Metazoa; Chordata; Mammalia; Artiodactyla; Suidae. The record is from RefSeq and is a predicted model, not a curated record.